RNAcentral lists this ribosomal RNA (424 nucleotides) under uncultured beta proteobacterium. RNAcentral describes it as "bacterial SSU rRNA". It matches the Rfam family "Bacterial small subunit ribosomal RNA", at positions 202 to 622 of the family's 1533-position model. Lineage: Bacteria; Pseudomonadati; Pseudomonadota; Betaproteobacteria. The record is from RNAcentral.
AAAGACCUUAUGCUUUUGGAGCGGCCGAUGUCUGAUUAGCUAGUUGGUAAGGUAAUGGCUUACCUAGGCGACGAUCAGUAGUUGGUCUGAGAGGACGGCCAGCCACACUGGGACUGAGACACGGCCCAGACUCCUACGGGAGGCAGCAGUGGGGAAUUUUGGACGAUGGGCGCAAGCCUGAUCCAGCAAUGCCGCGUGAGUGAAGAAGGCCUUCGGGUUGUAAAGCUCUCUCAGUUGAAAAGAAAAGGUUGUGACUAAUAAUCAUGACUCAUGACGGUAUCAACAGAAGAAGCACCGGCUAACUACGUGCCAGCAGCCGCGGUAAUACGUAGGGUGCAAGCGUUAAUCGGAAUUACUGGGCGUAAAGGGUGCGCAGGCGGUUCUGUAAGUCGGAUGUGAAAUCCCCGGGCUUAACCUGGGAACU